AGUUCUUGAGGCGAGGCUCCAAAGCGGUGGCGUCAAAGCUGGCUGCUCAGUGGAGGCCCCUAGGGAGCUGUGAACGCCCCCGUGGGCAGGCCUCAUCAGGCUCAGUAAGUCAGGAGGCUCAAGGUCGCCGCAGGCAGGGAUAUUCUGAGUCUCUGAGGGCGGAACCCCUGGUCUCCGGGGGGAGCUGCCGCUGGGCCCCAGCUGGGGGCACCGUGGAAGGCAUUUCCGCCCCGGGCACUUUGCCUAGCCGGCUGUCCGCGAAGCCGCAGCCUUCUCACUUCCGGGAGUCGAGGCCCUAGGCUGACCUCAGGUGCUAGGGUGCGUCCCUGGCCGCCGUGGGGCCCAUUACCUGACGCGGAGCAGCCGUGGGCGCCGUGCGUGCCGGUUCCCCGCGUGCCUGGCCCCACAAUGGACCAGGCUGGAGUGCGACGGUGAUUUGAGGCAGUCACUGAUUAUUUCUGUGCCUCCGUGGACUCUUCUUUUGGAAAAUCUAAGUUCCCUAAAACUCUAACAGUUAAUCUGAUAAAAUGGGACAUAAAAUACAUAUUUUUCCUUCCAUGUGAUGUGAGGAAGUUGAGCUUCAAAAAAAACGGUCACAAAAACAAAGAGAGUGCCUGGCGGCCUGGACUCCGGAUCCUGUGAAAUAAACCCGGCCGGAGCUGCUCUUGUCUGAGGACAGGAGUCCUUGAAUCACCUUAUUCCUGCGAAUAAAGGUGUCCCUCCCACUUGUCAAGCUCUUGAACUGGGUGAAUAAACCCAAUUUUUAUAAAAUCAUAAUGUUAAUUGACUAAUGGUGGAAACAAAAUUUUAUCAUAAGGUUUGUGAAUAGGCAUGGAUUCCAAGCAAAGAGACUGAGAGGCUUUAAAAUAGAUGUUUUUCACCAACCUGUCCACAAAAGAGGCUGUUUUGCCGGAGAUCCUGGCACUCAUUGAUGUCUGAGAUUUUUCUGGGACUGUGGAUAGGAACGGUCACAUGCAAGCUGUGACUCUCAUUGUUCUGUGCUUCCAGGGAAGACGACCUACCUUUUGAAUUAAAAGGCACUUCUUGCUGCUGCCAUGUGAAGGAUGUGUUUGCUUCCUCUUUCACCAUGAUUGAAAGUUUCCUGAGGCCUCCCUACCCAUGCUGAACUAGACAGAGUCUCGCUCUGUCACCCAGGCUGGAGUGCAGUGGCAUGAUCUCGGCUUUCUGCAAGUUCCACCUCCUGGGUUCACAUCAUUCUCCUACCUCAGCCUCCUGAGUACCUGGGACUACAGGCGCCCACUACCAUGCUCGGCUUAUUUUUUGUAUUUUUAGUAGAGAUGGGGUUUCACCGUGUUAGCCAGGAUGGUCUCGAUCUCCUGACCUCGUGAUCCGCCCGCCUCGGCCUCCCAAAGUGCUGGGAUUACAGGCUUGAGCCACGGCGCCUGGCCAAUUCUUCCCUCUUCUUAAAUAGCCUAACUCCAGUCUGUUAAAUGGGCAUGAUGUUUGCAUCUACUAAGAUUUUUUUUCCUAAUUAGAUACCAGUGGAUUGUCAAAAGUGCAGUUACUGAAUAUUAGCAUGGUAGUUAGAAAAAAAUAGCCCAACUGCUAUGUAAUUAUCUCCAAGUUGUAUAGGGCAUAAAUAUAAAUUAUUAUAUCCUUAGGGCUCAGGGGUGAGGUUUCGAAUAUAAAUGCUUUAGACUUUUAAGAGGCACUGUGCAUACAUGAUCAUAAGAACUUCUAAAUAUUGAAUGUCAAAGUUUUGCAGAGAAUGAGGAUAAAUGGCACUGAACGUCACUGUAGGAUUCUGUAUUAAAUUAUUGAUGUAAUUCAGUUGCACAGAUGCAAUGUAUGCACUCAGUCACAGGGAGGCUUGUCCUAGCCCUGACAUCUAACAGCUGGGUGACCUGGAGCAAGUUACUUAAUUGUAAUAGGCCUCAGCUUUCAGUUCAUUAAAUGGGAGAGUGCCACCUGACUGAUGGUUGAUAAUUUAUUGAACCUGAAAACACAUUCAUAUUUCUUUAUUAGUAAAAUGAUUUCUAUGUUUGAUAUUAUUGAUACACUAAUCAUGAGAGUAUCAAGGCAUGGCAACAAAUAUGCCCAUUUUAUUAUUAAAAAUACACAUUCUGUAAGUUAGCAAAUGCAUACUAAAUUUUUUUUUUGUAUUAGAAACUCACUGACAGUAGUAAGUAUAGUAUUAAUCCUGGAGUAUUAAGCUCCUACAGUACUAAUAAAACCAAGAUAAUUCUUCUACCUGCUAUUUUUUGGGACAGUUUUUUGGAAUCCUGAGCCAUAUAAGGACAAAUAUUCUGACACUGCCAUGCUGGAGAGACCACCUGUAGGUCCUUUGAUUGACCAUCCCAGUUGAUCUCAGACUCCUAACUAUCCUGUCCAAGGUCCAUACAUGUGAGUGAAGGUUCCUGGGAUGCUCGGGACUAGCCUCUGUGCCAACUGAGUACCACAAAGGGACCUCAGCUGUCAGUGCCCUGUGGAGCAUAAGAACCUAGCCUGGCUCUAGUUCCUCACCCACAAGGUCAGAUAAAAUAAAAUGAAUGGAUGGGUUUAAGCCAAAAAGUGAUGGGGUAAUUUGUUAGUUAGCAAAAGGCAAAAUUGGCUGUCUAAAAUCGUUUAAUAUGAAGACACAAAGAACUCAUAAAAACAGAAAAUGAUGUUAAUACGGAGAAUACCUACAAAGAUGAUCUUUCCAUUAUCUUUAUGAGAUCAUCUUAUUUAAUAUAACUGAACCUGAACAUUAGAUCAAAGAUGUAGUAUUUGACAGAAAAGCAAUUUACCAAUUUUCUCCUCGGGAACACAUUUUAUUGUAUUCUCAAACCCUUUGCCCCUUGCCAAAAUAGUUGUAAAUUCUGAUUACUGUUGUUUAAACAAUUAUUUAGUUUCUACCUACUCUAUAGGGAUUUAUAAUGCAUUAGCGGAUUCAAAUAUAUGAGAUGAUUCUGGUGUAGAGGCAAAGAGGAUAUUAUAAGUCAAUGAACAUGCACUAAACUCAUUUAUGAGUGAAGCAUAGUAUUUGUAAGCAAAGGAAAAGUUCAUUGACUUGCGUUUGGCUCUAUCAGAUUUGUAAACAUUAAGGAUGUUUAAGGUGAGUGAAAAGUUGAACUUCAGGGCUAGAAUUUCUUGUUUUUCUUAAAGCUCAUAUUCCAACACUGUUUGACAUGUACAAUAAUGGCAACCACAUUGCCUCAUGUUGCUUUUGGAGUCAAAGGGGAUUGUGUGCUUCAAAGAUGACUACUGCUAUUUAGAUCCUUUGUGGGAGGAGUUAAACUAGUGGAAAAGGAAUACGUGCUAAAGAGUUAAUGAUGUUUUUCAGAAACUGCUAACCAAAUUUUGUGCAUUUGUAGCAGCGUGAAAGAAACAUUUCAGUUUAUAAAGGCGAGCUUGUGCUUUCAACUUAAAGUAUUGCUCUGUCAGAAACAUUUGCUCUUCUAAAGCUUCUAUGGUAUUAAUAAAAACAUUUGUAGUGUGA
Long non-coding RNA from Gorilla gorilla gorilla (western lowland gorilla), 3442 nucleotides. RefSeq lists it as uncharacterized. The transcript has 3 exons. The record is from RefSeq and is a predicted model, not a curated record. NCBI's taxonomy places the organism in Eukaryota, Metazoa, Chordata, Mammalia, Primates, Hominidae.